AGCUGUUAGAAACUGUUACAAUACUCAAUUAUAUCAUUUAAAUUGGUAUUGGGACGUUGGGAAAUGAUUUAACUCGGAGAGGAGUUACAUUUUGAGUUCUCAGGAAACAGUUGUUUAAUAGUUGUUUGUAUGUUGUUUUAUGGUUGUUUUCGAACAUCUGGAACCAGAUUUUUGAAAACGUUCAUAAACAUACAUAAAUUAAUUGAGCAUGUUUCUAACUCUCUUGACCAACGUUUUUAUCCCAUUAAACACAAAUUAAUGUGUUGGUAACAGCCAUGUGAUGAAAGGGUUUGAUUUUCAAAUGUGAUUCUCAAAACACUAUAAAUAGAGGUCUUGAGUUUACUUUGAAAAGAACAAGUUUCUAUCAAGAGAGCACAUUGCUAGAAACACUAAAGGCUUGAUAAAUCCAGAAAGCUAUUUCCAUUCUUUUCUUUUCCCUAAGUGCUUGUGGUAGGGGGAAAUAAGCUUUUGGACAAAGGUGUAAAACCUUGUUCAAGUUUUGUGAUUCCCCUAUUAUACACGGGAAAUUUGAAUUUCCAUACUUACAAUAUUUUAAAAUUUUAUCUCUAAAUGCAUAGUUAUUAAAAUUGGUCAUAUAUGACCACAUUACUAAUUUCUCAAAAAUACCCCUCACAUUUAAAAUUCCUAAUCUCAUCAGCCUCUCUCUUCCUCUCUCUCAACUCACUCAAUUCUCCUCGUUUGAUAUCGGGCUUCAAAUAAUUCAACCACCUCAGUCUACAACUUUUCCUACAUCUAUUCAAUCCUGCACAAUAAUUUCAAAAAAAUCAUACUCAAUAUAUAUAUAUAUAUGCACAUAUAUAGGUAUACCAGUAGUAAUAAUAAUAAGUAUAUAUACCAGUUCUCUCUCUCCAAAAUUACUCACUUACUGUCAUUCAUUAACAUUAAUCUAGUAUUUUGAGUUAACAACUUGGAAUUGUUCAUUCAAGUUUUUAUUUUUUUUAUUAAUAUGUUAACUAUUCAAUUCCUAAAUGCUAAACCAACCCUCUUCUUCUCUUUGUUUUCUUCAUUUCUUUUGCUUUAAAAUAGAUAAUCUAAACAGCCUCUCUCUUCCUCUCUCUCAACUCACUCUCGCUCAACCCACCCGAUCCCAACCCCAACCGCAGCUGACGGUGACGGCGGACCCAAUCGACCCACGGUGACCGACCCAAUCGACCGCGCGGAGCUUUUCGACCCUAUCGGUCCAAUCGGACCUCCACGAAUCGGACCAUCGGACCCAUGCAACUUGACCAUCGGACCCAACCCGUCGGACCCAUCGGGCCUAUCGGACCCAUGCAUUGGGACCAUCAGACUCAACACCGUCGGACCAUCGGACCCCAUGCAACGUGACCGUCGGACCCAUUGGAUCCAUGUAUCGGGACCAUCGGACCCCACCCGUCGGACCCCAUCGGACCCUCUUCUUCCCCAAUGGUUUCUCAGAUCUGAUCUUCUUCAUCAUCAUAUUUGAUCUGCAAAAGAUUGAAUAGAUGUAGGAAAAGUUGUAGACUGAGGUGGUUGAAUUAUUUGAAGCCCGAUAUCAAACGUGAGUUGAGAGAGAGGAAGAGAGAGGCUGAUGAGAUUAGGAAUUUUAAAUGUGAGGGGUAUUUUUGAGAAAUUAAUAAUGUGGUCAUAUAUGACCAAUUUUAAUAACUAUGCAUUUAGGGAUAAAAUUUUAUGGUA
Cannabis sativa is the source of this 1677-nucleotide long non-coding RNA. RefSeq lists it as uncharacterized. The transcript is spliced from 2 exons. The record is from RefSeq and is a predicted model, not a curated record. Lineage: Eukaryota; Viridiplantae; Streptophyta; Magnoliopsida; Rosales; Cannabaceae.